AGAUUGAACGCUGGCGGCAUGCCUUACACAUGCAAGUCGAACGGCAGCACGGGAGCAAUCCUGGUGGCGAGUGGCGAACGGGUGAGUAAUACAUCGGAGCGUGCCCAAUCGUGGGGGAUAACGCAGCGAAAGCUGUGCUAAUACCGCAUACGAUCUACGGAUGAAAGCAGGGGACCGCAAGGCCUUGCGCGAGUGGAGCGGCCGAUGGCAGAUUAGGUAGUUGGUGAGGUAAAGGCUCACCAAGCCUUCGAUCUGUAGCUGGUCUGAGAGGACGACCAGCCACACUGGGACUGAGACACGGCCCAGACUCCGUACGGGAGCAGGCAGGUGGGGUAAUUUUGGAC
RNAcentral lists this ribosomal RNA (344 nucleotides) under uncultured soil bacterium. Its description in RNAcentral is "bacterial SSU rRNA". It matches the Rfam family "Bacterial small subunit ribosomal RNA", at positions 26 to 369 of the family's 1533-position model. The record is from RNAcentral.